RNAcentral lists this ribosomal RNA (597 nucleotides) under uncultured Candidatus Poseidoniales archaeon. RNAcentral describes it as "bacterial SSU rRNA". It matches the Rfam family "Archaeal small subunit ribosomal RNA", at positions 1 to 604 of the family's 1478-position model. The record is from RNAcentral. Lineage: Archaea; Methanobacteriati; Thermoplasmatota; Candidatus Poseidoniia; Candidatus Poseidoniales.
UUCUGGUUGAUCCUGCCGGAGGCUACCGCUAUUGGAGUUCGAUUAAGCCAUGCGAGUCGAGAGUCUUAGGGACUCGGCGUACCGCUCAGUAACACGUGGGUAACCUGCCCUAUGCUGGGGAAUAACCUCGGGAAACUGAGAAUAAUACCCCAUAGUUCACCACGCCUGGAACGGUGGGUGGAUGAAAGCUCCGGCGGCAUAGGAUGGGCCUGCGACGUAUCAGGUUGUAGGGGGUGUAACGUACCCUCUAGCCAUCAACGCGUACGGGUGUUGGGAGACAUAGCCCGGAGAUGGAUUCUGAGACACGAAUCCAGACCCUACGGGGUGCAGCAGGCGCGAAAACUUGGCAAUGCGAGCAAUCGUGACCAGGGAACUCCAAGUGGCUGGGGUAAUACCCAGUUUUUUCUUGACUCUUCAAAGGUCUUGGAAUAAGGGGUGGGUAAGGACGGUGCCAGCCGCCGCGGUAAUACCGGCGCCUCAAGUGGUAGUCGCUUUUAUUGGGCCUAAAACGUCCGUAGCCGGUCUGGUGCAUUCGUGGGUAAAUCAACCCGCUCAACGGGUUGAAUUCUGCGAGCACGGCCAGACUUGGGACCGGGA